Molecule: ribosomal RNA, 405 nt
Filed under: uncultured bacterium
Lineage: Bacteria
Description: partial 16S ribosomal RNA
Rfam family: Bacterial small subunit ribosomal RNA
Source: RNAcentral
GACGAACGCUGGCGGCGUGCUUAACACAUGCAAGUCGAGCGGAGCGGCGAACGGGUGAGUAACGCGUGAGUAACUGCCCCCCUCUCUGGGAUAACAGUUGGAAACGGCUGCUAAUACCGGAUAGUGGGGGAUGACUCGCGUCCUAUCAGCUUUUUGGUGGGGUAGGGGCCUAACAAGGAGACGACGGGUAGCCGGCCUGAGAGGGGGACCGGCCAAAUUGGUUUGAGAUACGGCCCAAACUCCUAUGGGAGGCAGCAGUGGGGAAUAGAGAACAAUGGGGGAAACCCUGAUGCAGCAACGCCGCGGGCGGGAUGACGGCCUUCGGGGUGUAAACAGCUUUCAGCCAGGACGCGGUAGUGGCAGAAGAAGCACCGGCUAACUACGUGCCAGCAGCCGCGGUAAUUC